UACGUAGGUGACCAGCGUUGUCCGGAUUUACUGGGCGUAAAGGGCGCGUAGGCGGCAAUUCAAGUCAGCUGUGAAAUCUCUGGGCUUAACCCAGAACGGCCAGCUGAUACUGCUUUGCUAGAGUGCAGAAGGGGCAAUCGGAAUUCUUGGUGUAGCGGUGAAAUGCGUAGAUAUCAAGAGGAACACCUGAGGUGAAGACGGGUUGCUGGGCUGACACUGACGCUGAGGCGCGAAAGCCAGGGGAGCAAACGGG
RNAcentral lists this ribosomal RNA (253 nucleotides) under uncultured bacterium. RNAcentral's name for it is "partial 16S ribosomal RNA". It matches the Rfam family "Bacterial small subunit ribosomal RNA", at positions 524 to 776 of the family's 1533-position model. The record is from RNAcentral.